This is a non-coding RNA of Paramuricea clavata, 410 nucleotides long. NCBI's taxonomy places the organism in Eukaryota, Metazoa, Cnidaria, Anthozoa, Malacalcyonacea, Plexauridae. The record is from the annotation of a GenBank genome assembly.
CUUAUUCAACCUAUAAUAUAUGCACCAGACAGCAUAAACGACUUACCAAAAUUGAAUAUUUGUUCAAACAUCAAGGUACCAUAAUUUUUAUUUGAAGAAUUGAAGUACGUAAGGUAUGGCAUCUUUGCACUAUAUUUACAAAAUAUAUGGCUUCCUUUUGGUCAAGAGACCAUUUAUAUAUAUAUAUUCAUUUGCUCAAAAUGUUAUAAAUUAAACAAAUUAAACAUCUUUUAUGAAUAACAAGAAAUUGCCGCCAUUAUUUAAUAUUGACUGUGCCUAUUCGCAGGUUCGAUGCCUGAAGAGUUUAGCCUGCAAACAGGCAGCUUUGGCGAGCGGGGCUAAUUUCACUUAUAUUUUUCGAUAAAAUAACAAGACAAAAGUUAAAGAUAAAUUAUUUAACUCGUGUCAAA